RNAcentral lists this ribosomal RNA (497 nucleotides) under uncultured bacterium. RNAcentral's name for it is "partial 16S ribosomal RNA". It matches the Rfam family "Bacterial small subunit ribosomal RNA", at positions 28 to 507 of the family's 1533-position model. The record is from RNAcentral.
GACGAACGCUGGCGGCGUGCCUAAUACAUGCAAGUUGAGCGAUGAAGAUUGGUGCUUGCACCAAUUUGAAGAGCAGCGAACGGGUGAGUAACGCGUGGGGAAUCUGCCUUUGAGCGGGGGACAACAUUUGGAAACGAAUGCUAAUACCGCAUAACAACUUUAAACAUAAGUUUUAAGUUUGAAAGAUGCAAUUGCAUCACUCAAAGAUGAUCCCGCGUUGUAUUAGCUAGUUGGUGAGGUAAAGGCUCACCAAGGCGAUGAUACAUAGCCGACCUGAGAGGGUGAUCGGCCACAUUGGGACUGAGACACGGCCCAAACGACUACGGGAGGCAGCAGUAGGGAAUCUUCGGAAAUGGACGAAAGUCUGACCGAGCAACGCCGCGUGAGUGAAGAAGGUUUUCGGAUCGUAAAACUCUGUUGGUAGAGAAGAACGUUGGUGAGAGUGGAAAGCUCAUCAAGUGACGGUAACUACCCAGAAAGGGACGGCUAACUACGUG